AGCGCCGCCGCCGGCUGACCCAGCGCUCAUGGACCCGGCCUACGGCCACCCGACCGGCCUGACGCCCGAGCAGAUCAUGUACCACCAGCAGAUGGCCGCCCACCAUCAGGCGCAGCACCUCCGCAAGCAGCGGCUGCUGCAGCAGGGCCAGCAGCCGGCGGCGCGUCAGUACCAGGCGGUGCCCACCGCUUCACUGCUGCCGGGCUCCACCGUCACAGCGAGUGCUCAGAUGAAGUCAACCACGCCUAUCGUCCUGGUGGCCAAUCAGACGCCUGCAGUCAUGGCAACGCAGAUGACGUCACACGUCGAUCCACUAGUGAGGCGCCAUCCAAUAACUGGGGACCUACUCUACACCAGCCCGGUGUUCAUACAAGGCACUCCGGUAGGCACUCCGGUGACGCCGGCCGGCACUCCGCGUGGCCUGCGCGAUGACUCGUCAGACACGAUGAGCGAGACCGACAGCCAGAAGUCGCUGCGCAUCCGACGCAAGCUGCCCUACCUACCCAUGGACCAGGAAGCGGCGCCGCUCCCCAUGGCUCGCAAACGUGACAAGCACAAACUGCUCACCAAACGGGGUCACGCGGGUCUGCACCGGCAAACGUCGCUGGACAGUGCCGACCUGCGGGAGCCGACCUCGUUGAACAGCCUGGCGCUGGCGCGGCCCAGCACCAGCAUGACCAACCUGGCGGCGGCGGCCAAGACGCCGCUGCCCGAGCUGCCGGCGCGCCCCGGCUCCGCGCUGGGCAUCAUGAGCGAGACAAACCGGCUGGCCACGCUGGAGGCGGCACGCGACAACCUGAACGCCAGCAUCGCAUCAGUGCUGCCGCCGGACCUGCAGCACCUGGUGUACAGCAAGCCGGGCGUGUCGUCUUCCUUCUCAGAAACAUUUGCCAACCAGCUGACGUACGCCAACAGUCUGAAAAACGAGCUGCGCACGGCCUCCGACGACAAGCGGCGCCUGCUGGAGGCCGAGCUGUCUGCGCUGAACGAGGAGCGGCGGCGCACGCUGCGCCAGACCAACCUGUCGCCGGCCACGCGGCAGCGGAUCGAGCAGCGCAUGGGCCUGACCUCGUUCAGCCCGACGUUGCGCCGCCGCCGGUUCCCGGUCGGCCGCCGCCACCUCAGCGACCCCAAGCUGUUCAGCGCGUCGGUCUCCCCGAUCCGCGAGGACGAGGACCUGCUGGCGGGCUACGGCGGUUCGCUGGGCUCCCGGCUCAAGUCGCUCGAGUACGAGUCACUGGACGGCCGGGACCGAGCCGGCUGGGGCGACCCAUCACACCCGUACAUCGGCGCCCCGUACGGCGGCGGCCUGCGAGACACGGCCAUCUCCUCCUACCUGGGCGAGGAGCUGCUCGAGCGUCGGCUGGCCAGCGCCUAACAGGUCCAAUGAGGGCAGUGGGUUGUGGGAUGAGGAAUUCAUCAUGUAAAGACAGUCUCUGCUGUUAAGAUCCUACCAGCGUCGGCUGAGCGACAGCGGCGUGCUCCACUCUUCCGAGUUCAGUAGAUCGUACUUGAGCGACGGUAGCCCGCGCCACCGGCUUUCGCGCAAGCCGCGCAAGCCGCGGUCCUGGCAUCCGUCGCCCUACGUGAGCGACGAGGACGACGAGAUGCUGAACCGCGAGGAGCGUCGCCACAAGAUCAAGCAGGAGAUCUCGCGGCGACGCCACCACAUCGAAGAGAACUCGACACUGCACGACGAACUGAUGCGGCUGGCGCGGCUGCGCGAGAGCGCGGAGCUCUCGUUCGGCGAGCGGCCGGACGGCGGCGGCGCGCCUCCCGGCCGUGACACCGGCCACAGCGUGCUCAAGUCCAUCGACGAGAUCAUGCGCGACGAGGGGUACGCGCGCCGCGUGCCCGAUACCGGCCUCAGCUACUACAGCUCACCACCCACGCGCAAGAUCGACUUUGAUGGCAAGCUGGGUCGCAAGUUCUCCAACUCGGACGAAGAGCGGAGCAUGAACCGGCUGGCGUCCACCUUCAACACUAACGAACUGUACUAUGACCCCAUGCCUGAGUACUCGUCUUACAGCAAACAGCGGGCCGACCCGAGCGGCUCACUUUACCUGUCUGACUCCGCGUCAAGGUCGCGUCAAAGUCAAAGGGUCGAUGACCCCAGCGCGCGCAAAUUAUACAAAGGCAAGUACGACAGACGGUGGCAUUGAUGUACCUAGUGUUGUGCGAGCAACGCUGUGUGGAAUGGUUGUUGGACCUUUACCCUUUCUCUCUCCCACGUCAGUCUUGCGCAGUGAAACUGUGUAUAAUUAUGGUUUCUCUCACCGCUUAGCUUGCCUAGUGGCCUGCUGAUCAAUGUAUCCAACGCUUCAGGUGUUUUUGGCUUCGUUUGUUGUUGUGCAAUACUUUUUCAAGGCCACAACGCUGGAUGGCCUCUGUCACUCGUGCCUGCUUUACCGUCACACUGUCGUCACUGUGCAACUGCUAAGCGAAUGGCUGGCUUCACUUUGGCACAUGGUUGGGGCCGCUGAACUUCAAACCCUGGUUGUGACCCUACCCACGUGUCAGUUUGGUUUGUGCCUUAUGGGUUUCAGAUUUGUACAGUACAGUGAACUGAUUAAUUUGGUGGCAUUCCUGUCAUAUCAUGAGGGAGAGAGAGCAAGAAAGCACAAAUUGUUGUUGAGCGGAUCGCACGCUUUUGCUUGUCUUGUACAGGUAUGGGUGUGAUUUAUUGUUACCAUAUGUGGUGUAGUGUCUGGCGAUGAAGGAUUACCUCUGUAGGACGGGAUAGCCAUUUGUUUGUGCCCUUUUCUUACUUCCCUCGAUUUGAUUGACCUGUACAGAAUCGAUGAUGAUUCAUAUCUGUAAUUGGUCUUCGAUGCCGAGGGCCAUCUUGCAUAUACAUAUAUACAUAAAUACACUGUUUUUGUUACCACA
Pollicipes pollicipes is the source of this 2889-nucleotide RNA transcript. RefSeq lists it as uncharacterized. NCBI's taxonomy places the organism in Eukaryota, Metazoa, Arthropoda, Thecostraca, Pollicipedomorpha, Pollicipedidae. The record is from RefSeq and is a predicted model, not a curated record. The transcript is spliced from 11 exons.